GCUAAUACAUGCAAGUCGAACGAUCUCUGCCAAUUGAUUGGUGCUUGCAUCAUGAUUUACAUGAGUGUGAAUGGCGAAAUGAACAAGUAACACGUGGGAAACCUGCCCAGAAGCGGGGGAUAACACCUGGAAACAGAUGCUAAUACCGCUUAACACCUUGGACCGCUUGGUCCGAGUUUGAUUGAUGGCUUCGGUUAUCACUUUUGCAUGGUCCCGCGGCGUAUUAUGGUAGAUGGUGGGGUAACGGCUCACCAUGAUGCAUGAUACGAAGCCGACCUGUGAACGGUAAUCGUUGCACAUUGAGACUGAGACACGACUCCAAACUCCAGGGGGCAGGCAGGCAAAUAGGGAAUCUUCCAACAUGGACGAAAGUCAGAUGGAGCAACGCCGCGUGAGUGGAAGAAGGGUUUCGGCUCGCAAAACGUCUGUUGUUAAACAAAGAACAAAUCUGACUAGUUAACUGCCUCAGGUAUUGACGGUAUUUAACCAGAAAGCCACGGACUAACUACGUGCCAGCGGCCAUCGGUAAUACGUA
RNAcentral lists this ribosomal RNA (535 nucleotides) under Lactiplantibacillus plantarum. RNAcentral's name for it is "bacterial SSU rRNA". It matches the Rfam family "Bacterial small subunit ribosomal RNA", at positions 46 to 529 of the family's 1533-position model. Lineage: Bacteria; Bacillati; Bacillota; Bacilli; Lactobacillales; Lactobacillaceae. The record is from RNAcentral.